RNAcentral lists this ribosomal RNA (254 nucleotides) under uncultured bacterium. RNAcentral describes it as "partial 16S ribosomal RNA". It matches the Rfam family "Bacterial small subunit ribosomal RNA", at positions 15 to 252 of the family's 1533-position model. The record is from RNAcentral.
GAUCCUGACUCAGGAUGAACGCUGGCGGCGUGCUUAACACAUGCAAGUCGAACGGGGAAUACUUUAUUGAAACUUCGGUCGAUUUAAUCUAUUUCUAGUGGCGGACGGGUGAGUAACGCGUGGGUAACCUGCCUUAUACUGGGGGAUAACAGCCAGAAAUGACUGCUAAUACCGCAUAAGCGCACGGGGCCGCAUGGUCCUGUGUGAAAAACUCCGGUGGUAUAAGAUGGACCCGCGUUGGAUUAGCUAGUUGG